GACGGCAGCACCCGCAAGACCGCCUAGACGUCCUAAAGUGUACUGGAACAGCAGACGACGACCUGAUACAGAAAUAGCUGCAUCUCUUCGUCGCCAAUGUAGCUGAGGCGUUUUGGUCGUGAGAGGACAUCGUCGCUACCUACGACGAAUACGUUACCGCUGACAGUGUUUUUCUGCGAGAGGAGAUAUGGGGUCGAGCAACGUCGUCACUCAUGCUAUAGGUUGCUGAGGCCUUUGAAGCGGUCGUAAUGACUUGCUUUCUCUCAUCAACCCCACUUGUUUGCCUGUAAAAGACUGAAAUAAACGAUUUGAUUGAUUGAU
Long non-coding RNA from Dermacentor andersoni, 321 nucleotides. RefSeq lists it as uncharacterized. The record is from RefSeq and is a predicted model, not a curated record. NCBI's taxonomy places the organism in Eukaryota, Metazoa, Arthropoda, Arachnida, Ixodida, Ixodidae.